Long non-coding RNA from Leopardus geoffroyi (Geoffroy's cat), 314 nucleotides. RefSeq lists it as uncharacterized. NCBI's taxonomy places the organism in Eukaryota, Metazoa, Chordata, Mammalia, Carnivora, Felidae. The record is from RefSeq and is a predicted model, not a curated record. The transcript is spliced from 2 exons.
AUAUUACUCAUUUGAUCCUCUUCAUAAUGACCCCUAUGAGCUACACACUAUCUAUUGUGAUGCCCAUUUCCAAGAUGUGCAAAUGGAGGCCCUGAGAAGGCAGCAGCUCAACCCUGUGGCAGGGGCCGGACACCCCAAACAGUCAUGGGUCCACACCCCAACAUAUGUUACUCUAUUUAUUUAUCGUCGAGACAUAUGUACUAUUUUGCUAGCCAAGCUGCAUCGUUUGAACGAGGCACAAAAACAAAAUUUAAAAAUAGGCAAAAAUUGUGCAAAACUUUCAAUGUAUGCAAAAAUGAAAAUAAUUAUAAAGC